This 252-nucleotide ribosomal RNA is filed under the name uncultured bacterium. RNAcentral's name for it is "partial 16S ribosomal RNA". It matches the Rfam family "Bacterial small subunit ribosomal RNA", at positions 524 to 776 of the family's 1533-position model. The record is from RNAcentral.
UACGUAGGAUGCGAGCGUUAUUCGGAUUUAUUGGGUUUAAAGGGUGCGUAGGCGGACGCUUAAGUCAGCGGUAAAAUUGCGGGGCUCAACCUCGUCGAGCCGUUGAAACUGGGUGCCUUGAGUGGGCGAGAAGUACGCGGAAUGCGUGGUGUAGCGGUGAAAUGCAUAGAUAUCACGCAGAACUCCGAUUGCGAAGGCAGCGUACCGGCGCCCAACUGACGCUGAAGCACGAAGGCGUGGGUAUCGAACAGG